GAAAGUUGAUGUGCGCUAAUUAUAUUAUUUUGUGCGCAAAGACGGACUAUUAAUAUGAUGAAUAUCAAUUGGAUAUGAUAAUAAGCGUACGAAGUAUAUUAUAAGUGAUUUGGGGUCUAAGGAGAAGCCUAAGUCUAAGCCAAGUUGGAAAAUUUCAAGAUAGGCUAAAAUUCUAAAUGAGCAAGCACAAGAUCACACUUUGGACGAGCACAUCUACAUAUAUAUAAGGUGUUAUGUGAUUCACAACCUAUCAAAUUAAAGGUCUUUGAAUCUAGUUUCUAACGCUUCAAACCGUUCAUCAUUUGGACAUUUGUACAAAAAGUUAUGAUGGAUUUAUUGAAGGCAGGUAAUGCUGUGUACUGGGGCAGAGGCAAAUCGCAGUUACCCAAUGCGAUUUAUAAAUCGUAUUCGACACCUGCGACAUACCUGGACAGAUUACAAAACGCGAGUUUCAGCCAUUUUUAACACAUUUGGAGCUAUGGAACUCGGAUUGAAGCGAUUUUUGAGGCGAUUUUCACCAUAUGGAUUGAGGUAAGUGAUUCUAACUCGAUUUUGGUUAAAAUACAUGAAUCUAUUGUUGUUUUUAUCAUGAAAUUAGUGAAUUAAGUUGAAAAUGGUAGAAAUUCUCUAUACCUUAGAUUUAAGAUUUGGAGGUCGAUUUGUUGUUGAAAUUUAGUAAUUUUGGUAUGGUUGGACUCGUGGUUGAAUGGCCGUUCAUAUUUUGUAACUUUCGUCGGAUUCCGAGACGUGGGCCCCACGGGCGAUUUUUGAUCUAAUUUCGGAUUUUAUUGAAAAAUUUGGUAUUUUCACAUGGGAUUGAUUCCAAUAAUCUGUGUUGAUUGUAUUGAAUUAUUUUUGGCUAGAUUCAAACCAUUCAGAGGUGGAUAAUCGAGG
RNAcentral lists this long non-coding RNA (894 nucleotides) under Nicotiana tabacum (common tobacco). RNAcentral's name for it is "long non-coding RNA (NTAB_LNC019446)". Lineage: Eukaryota; Viridiplantae; Streptophyta; Magnoliopsida; Solanales; Solanaceae. The record is from RNAcentral.